This 497-nucleotide ribosomal RNA is filed under the name uncultured bacterium. RNAcentral describes it as "partial 16S ribosomal RNA". It matches the Rfam family "Bacterial small subunit ribosomal RNA", at positions 28 to 507 of the family's 1533-position model. The record is from RNAcentral.
GAUGAACGCUGGCGGCGUGCCUAAUACAUGCAAGUCGAGCGAACAGACGAGAAGCUUGCUUCUCUGACGUUAGCGGCGGACGGGUGAGUAACACGUGGAUAACCUACCUAUAAGACUGGGAUAACUUCGGGAAACCGGAGCUAAUACCGGAUAAUAUUUUGAACCGCAUGGUUCAAUAGUGAAAGACGGUUUUGCUGUCACUUAUAGAUGGAUCCGCGCUGCAUUAGCUAGUUGGUAAGGUAACGGCUUACCAAGGCAACGAUGCAUAGCCGACCUGAGAGGGUGAUCGGCCACACUGGAACUGAGACACGGUCCAGACUCCUACGGGAGGCAGCAGUAGGGAAUCUUCCGCAAUGGGCGAAAGCCUGACGGAGCAACGCCGCGUGAGUGAUGAAGGUCUUCGGAUCGUAAAACUCUGUUAUUAGGGAAGAACAAAUGUGUAAGUAACUGUGCACAUCUUGACGGUACCUAAUCAGAAAGCCACGGCUAACUACGUG